This 373-nucleotide ribosomal RNA is filed under the name uncultured organism. RNAcentral describes it as "partial 16S ribosomal RNA". It matches the Rfam family "Bacterial small subunit ribosomal RNA", at positions 527 to 896 of the family's 1533-position model. The record is from RNAcentral.
GGAGGGUGCUAACGUUGCUCGGAAUUACUGGGCGUAAAGCGCAUGCAGGCGGUCUGCAAAGUUUCGUGUGAAAGCCCUGGGCUCAACCCAGGAUGUGCACGGAAAACUGGUAGACUAGAGUACUGGAGAAGUGGGCGGAAUUCCCGGUGUAGAGGUGAAAUUCGUAGAUAUCGGGAGGAACACCAGUAGCGAAAGCGGCUCACUUGACAGAUACUGACGCUCAGAUGCGAAAGCGUGGGGGAGCAAACAGGAUUAGAUACCCUGGUAGUCCACGCCGUAAACGAUGGGCACUAGGUGUCGGGGGGCUUGACCCCUUCGGCGCCGAAGCUAACGCAUUAAGUGCCCCCGCCUGGGGAGUACGGUCGCAAGACUA